UAGGGAAUCUUCGGCAAUGGACGAAAGUCUGACCGAGCAACGCCGCGUGAGUGAAGAAGGUUUUCGGAUCGUAAAACUCUUUUGUUCGAGAAGAACAAGGACGUUAGUAACUGAACGUCCCCUGACGGUAUCUAACCAGAAAGCCACGGCUAACUACGUGCCAGCAGCCGCGGUAUUACGUAGGUGGCAAGCGUUGACCGGAUUUAUUGGGCGUAAAGCGAGCGCAGGCGGUUUCUUAAGUCUGAUGUGAAAGCCCCCGGCUCAACCGGGGAGGGUCAUUGGAAACUGGGAGACUUGAGUGCAGAAGAGGAGAGUGGAAUUCCAUGUGUAGCGGUGAAAUGCGUAGAUAUAUGGAGGAACACCAGUGGCGAAGGCGGCUCUCUGGUCUGUAACUGACGCUGAGGCUCGAAAGCGUGGGGAGCAAACAGG
RNAcentral lists this ribosomal RNA (429 nucleotides) under Gemmatimonadota bacterium. RNAcentral's name for it is "Gemmatimonadetes bacterium partial 16S ribosomal RNA". It matches the Rfam family "Bacterial small subunit ribosomal RNA", at positions 355 to 776 of the family's 1533-position model. Lineage: Bacteria; Pseudomonadati; Gemmatimonadota. The record is from RNAcentral.